This 465-nucleotide ribosomal RNA is filed under the name uncultured bacterium. Its description in RNAcentral is "partial 16S ribosomal RNA". It matches the Rfam family "Bacterial small subunit ribosomal RNA", at positions 339 to 795 of the family's 1533-position model. The record is from RNAcentral.
CUACGGGGGGCAGCAGUGAGGAAUAUUGCGCAAUGGGGGCAACCCUGACGCAGCGACGCCGCGUGAGUGAGGAAGGCCUUCGGGUCGUAAAGCUCUGUCAAGAGGAAAGAAGUGCAUGGUGGCUAAUACCCAUCAUGUUUGACGGUACCUCUAAAGGAAGCACCGGCUAACUCCGUGCCAGCAGCCGCGGUAAUACGGAGGGUGCAAGCGUUGUUCGGAAUCACUGGGCGUAAAGGGCGCGCAGGCGGCCAGGUAAGUCAGGUGUGAAAGCCCAGGGCUUAACCGGGGAAGUGCAUUUGAUACUGUCAGGCUUGAGUACCAGAGGGGAAAGUGAAAUUCCAGGUGUAGAGGUGAAAUUCGUAGAUAUCGGGAGGAAUACCGGUGGCGAAGGCGACUUUCUGGCCGAGUACUGACGCUGAGGUGCGAAAGCGUGGGGAGCAAACAGGAUUAGAUACCCGUGUAGUC